Molecule: ribosomal RNA, 140 nt
Filed under: Gammaproteobacteria bacterium
Lineage: Bacteria; Pseudomonadati; Pseudomonadota; Gammaproteobacteria
Description: partial 23S ribosomal RNA
Rfam family: Bacterial large subunit ribosomal RNA
Source: RNAcentral
AGCCCCUCCCAAGAUAAAUUCUCACCAGACUCUUGAAGUCUCUAAAGGGCCGUUGAAGACGACGACGUUGAUAGGCUGGGUGUGGAAGUGCAGUAAUGUAUGAAGCUAACCAGUACUAAUUGCCCGUGAGGCUUGACCAU